This 519-nucleotide ribosomal RNA is filed under the name uncultured bacterium. RNAcentral describes it as "partial 16S ribosomal RNA". It matches the Rfam family "Bacterial small subunit ribosomal RNA", at positions 28 to 507 of the family's 1533-position model. The record is from RNAcentral.
GACGAACGCUGGCGGCGUGCCUAAUACAUGCAAGUCGAGCGAGCUUGCCUAGAUGAUUUUAGUGCUUGCACUAAAUGAAACUAGAUACAAGCGAGCGGCGGACGGGUGAGUAACACGUGGGUAACCUGCCCAAGAGACUGGGAUAACACCUGGAAACAGAUGCUAAUACCGGCUAACAACACUAGACGCAUGUCUAGAGUUUGAAAGAUGGUUCUGCUAUCACUCUUGGAUGGACCUGCGGUGCAUUAGCUAGUUGGUAAGGUAACGGCUUACCAAGGCAAUGAUGCAUAGCCGAGUUGAGAGACUGAUCGGCCACAUUGGGACUGAGACACGGCCCAAACUCCUACGGGAGGCAGCAGUAGGGAAUCUUCCACAAUGGGCGAAAGUCUGAUGGAGCAACGCCGCGUGAGUGAAGAAGGGUUUCGGCUCGUAAAGCUCUGUUGGUAGUGAAGAAAGAUAGAGGUAGUAACUGGCCUUUAUUUGACGGUAAUUACUUAGAAAGUCACGGCUAACUACGUG